RNAcentral lists this ribosomal RNA (598 nucleotides) under uncultured saccharomyceta. Its description in RNAcentral is "eukaryotic LSU rRNA". The stretch from base 237 to 390 matches the Rfam family "5.8S ribosomal RNA". The record is from RNAcentral. Lineage: Eukaryota; Fungi; Ascomycota.
CUUGGUCAUUUAGAGGAAGUAAAAGUCGUAACAAGGUUUCCGUAGGUGAACCUGCGGAAGGAUCAUUACAGUGUUCCCUGCCCUUCGGGGUAGGAUCGCCACCCUUGAUUAUUUUAUGAGUGUUGCUUUGGCGGGCCUCGCGGCCUGGCCGCGCCCCGGCUUCGGCGGGGGAGCGCCCGCCAGAGGAUUCUACGAACCUGAUUAUUAGUGUCGUCUGAGUACUAUAUAAUAGUUAAAACUUUCAACAACGGAUCUCUUGGUUCUGGCAUCGAUGAAGAACGCAGCGAAAUGCGAUAAGUAAUGUGAAUUGCAGAAUUCAGUGAAUCAUCGAAUCUUUGAACGCACAUUGCGCCCCGUGGUAUUCCGCGGGGCAUGCCUGUUCGAGCGUCAUUAUGACCAAUCCCGUUCUGCGGGGUCUUGGGCACCGCCUCCGGGCGGGCCUCAAAACCAGUGGCGGUCCGGCCGGGCUCUGAGCGUAGUAAAUCUUCUCGCUAUAGGGUCUCGGGCGGCACUGGCCAGCAACCCCCAAUCUUUCACAGGUUGACCUCGGAUCAGGUAGGGAUACCCGCUGAACUUAAGCAUAUCAAUAAGCGGAGGA